UUACACACUUCUUUGUUAUAUUAAUCUAAAGAUCUGUAUACUUUUUGGUUUUGAUUCAAAAUUUUAUUUUAGUGAUAUUUAUUUUUUUGUAAAAAAAAACAAGGUGGGGGUUUCACAUGUCCCGCCAUGUCUCAAAAACAAUAUAUGGUUAUUGCUUUAAACUUUCUCAGAAACUAUUUAUGAUUAUUGCAUAAAACUUCCACACAAGACGUCGGGCGUAUCAUGCUAAGAUAUGAAUAAGAAUAAUUCUGCAUUCAAACAUUGUGCAAUUUGUAUUCCAGGGA
RNAcentral lists this long non-coding RNA (284 nucleotides) under Mytilus galloprovincialis (Mediterranean mussel). Lineage: Eukaryota; Metazoa; Mollusca; Bivalvia; Mytilida; Mytilidae. The record is from RNAcentral.